GCCCUGUAUUUACUUUAGCAUCAAUCUUGAUAACAGAAAGAUCUUUAUUACAUAGUAUAUCAUUAAAACCCACACAAAAUACCCCCGCAAGGGCACCACUCUAGCACACCACAGAAAAGCUAACACCUUGUCCCUUUUGCAUCAUGGCGAAGCAACAAAACCUUAGUGUUUUAACCCCCCGAAUAACUAUGAGCUACUGAGUCUUUAAAAUUAAUGUUUCAUAAUUAAUAAAGUAGCAUUCAGUAGAAGUAACAAGCCUUCCAUAUAGUUAGAUAGCUGGCUUUCCACAAAAAACACCAAAGUGUCUCACCAUAGAGAAACCAAACUAAUCCACCUAUGGAUGUCAACCUUCUGAGGACCAGCUCUGAAGGCUAUAAAAAAUACCAUCACCCCACUACCUGAUAGUAGGCCUAAAAACAGCCAUCCAACAGCGUUCCAGUUAACAGCUCACAAAUAAUCAAUAUUAAACCAAAAUUUUCGCAUAAGUGGAACUUGACGCCAAACCCAUAACGUCAAUGAACCGGCAUUCUAUUAGUAUUCAUACAUCAUCUCUUACACAACUAAAUUUAAUUAAACCAAACCCAAACCUUACUCAAAAUCGUAUAGAGUGAACUCGGCAACAAAGUUCUCUGCCUGUUUACCAAAAACAUCGUCCUCUGACACCUACACAUAAAGGAUAAUGCCUGCCCAGUGAACACUUAAACGGCCGCGUUAGCGUGAGCGUGCUAAGGUAGCGUAAUAAAUAGCCUUUUAAUUGAAGGCCAGUGAAUGGCAAGACUAGGAACACCUAUACACUCUACGUUUAAAAAACUUUUCGUCUAAGUGAAAAGACUUAGAUAAAUAAGGAAGACGAAAAGACCCCGCGGAGCUUUACUUUUUCUAUUACGAAUAUCAAUAUAUAUAAAUAUCAAAAGUUUGAUUGGGGCAAUCUCGGAACCACCAAGCUUCCGACCGCUUUAAGAAAAAAAUAAAAAACUCAUUACGGACAAGACAGAAGCUACCCCGGGGAUAACAGCGUCAUCCAACUUGAGAGUACAUAUCGAAAGUUGGGUUUGCGACCUCGAUGUUGGCUUAAGGAUAUCCGCAUCAGUGCAGCCGCUAUGCAGGACAGUCUGUUCGACUAUUAUACCCUUACACGAGCUGAGUUAAGACCGGCGCAAGCUAGGUUGGUUUCUAUCUCCUUUAUUUCAACUCUAUCCUUGAUUGUACGAAAGGACCCCAAGAAAUGCACCAAAUAAAAGCAUACCUUAUAUACUAUAACUUACCUAUCAUAAAUUAUAAGACACACCA
This 1290-nucleotide ribosomal RNA is filed under the name Pilsbryoconcha exilis. RNAcentral's name for it is "16S ribosomal RNA". The stretch from base 843 to 1183 matches the Rfam family "Archaeal large subunit ribosomal RNA", at positions 2150 to 2716 of the family's 2987-position model. The record is from RNAcentral. Lineage: Eukaryota; Metazoa; Mollusca; Bivalvia; Unionida; Unionidae.